GCCGAGCAUGGUGCAUGUGCCUGUAGUCCCAACUACUCGGGAGGCUGAGUUGGGAAAAUCUCUUGAGCCCAGGAGUUCUGGGCUGUAGUGCACCAUGCUGAUCGGGUGUUCGCACUAAGUUCAGCAUCAACAUGGUGACCUCCAAGGAGCAGGGGAGCACCAGGUUGCCUAAGGAGGAGUGAACCAGCCCAGCUCAGAAACAAAGCAGGUCAAAACUCCCAUGCUGAUUGGUAAUGGGAUCGUGCCUGUGAAUAGCCACUGCACUCCAGCCUGGGCAACAUAGCAAGAUCCUAUCUCUU
Unclassified non-coding RNA from Callithrix jacchus (white-tufted-ear marmoset), 299 nucleotides. It matches the Rfam family "Metazoan signal recognition particle RNA". From Rfam's summary of the family: The signal recognition particle (SRP) is a universally conserved ribonucleoprotein. It is involved in the co-translational targeting of proteins to membranes. The eukaryotic SRP consists of a 300-nucleotide 7S RNA and six proteins: SRPs 72, 68, 54, 19, 14, and 9. NCBI's taxonomy places the organism in Eukaryota, Metazoa, Chordata, Mammalia, Primates, Cebidae. The record is from Ensembl.